Molecule: long non-coding RNA, 233 nt
Filed under: Hordeum vulgare
Lineage: Eukaryota; Viridiplantae; Streptophyta; Magnoliopsida; Poales; Poaceae
Description: long non-coding RNA (HVUL_LNC007263)
Source: RNAcentral
UUAAAUAGGCCAUUCUGGAGCUAACUAAGCUAAUUAUGUCAUUUCGUAGGAUAAUUAGCCAAUUUAGCCUUUCUUGGAUGAGUCUAAGCUACGUAGAAGAAGAGAUAGAGAAGAAGAAGUAAAAUAAGGAGGAGGAGGAGGAGGAGGAGAAGAAGGAAGAGGAGAAGAAGAAGAAAAGAAGAAGGAGAAGGAGAAGAAGGAGAAGGAGAAGGAGGAAGAAGAAGGAGUAGGAG